AUUGAACGCUGGCGGCAUGCCUAACACAUGCAAGUCGAACGGGGUGUAGCAAUACACCUAGUGGCGGACGGGUGAGGAAUACAUAGGAAUUUGCCCUUAAGUGGGGGAUAGUCCGGGGAAACUCGGUUUAAUACCGCAUGAUCUCGUAAGAGCAAAGCAGGGGAGUCGCAAGACCUUGCGCUUUCGGAGAAGCCUAUGUCGGAUUAGCUAGUUGGUAGGGUAAUGGCCUACCAAGGCGACGAUCCGUAACUGGUCUGAGAGGACGAUCAGUCACACCGGAACUGAGACACGGUCCGGACUCCUACGGGAGGCAGCAGUGGGGAAUAUUGGACAAUGGCGGAAAGACCUGAUCCAGCAAUGCCGCGUGUGUGAAGAA
RNAcentral lists this ribosomal RNA (376 nucleotides) under uncultured bacterium. Its description in RNAcentral is "bacterial SSU rRNA". It matches the Rfam family "Bacterial small subunit ribosomal RNA", at positions 30 to 412 of the family's 1533-position model. The record is from RNAcentral.